This 602-nucleotide ribosomal RNA is filed under the name Argopecten purpuratus. RNAcentral describes it as "partial 16S ribosomal RNA". The record is from RNAcentral. Lineage: Eukaryota; Metazoa; Mollusca; Bivalvia; Pectinida; Pectinidae.
CGUACCUUUUGCAUCAUGGCUUUACAAGUGUUUAUUCUUAGGAAGGCUCCCGAAAGUUUAGCGAUCUAUUUUUUUACUGAGGUUGGCGUAGAAGGCUAUCUUUAGAUGGAAGAAUAGUGGCGAAAUACCUUUCGCGCUGACUAAUAGCUGGUUGUUUUGUAAAUAUAUUUAAGUAUAGGUCCCACCUAGAAGCUAAUGGGAUUAGACCUUUAGUUUUUGGUGGGAGCCCAUUUUCUUCAGGCUAAGCUGAGGAAAAGGAUAAAAGGUUUUUAGAGAAAAGAGAUGGAAAGUGGGCUUAAAGAAGCCAUCUUUUUAGAGUGGGUUAAUCCUCAGUAUUUCUAGUUAAUGAUCAAAUGAAGUUCCUUUUGUUCAACAAAACUUCUUCACGAAACUAAGGAGUGAAGGUAAUAAUGUAAAGAUGAGUAGCUCAGUUUUUGGGGUUUAUUUGGUUCAGGAAAUUAAACGCUAAGUGAACGAUGAUGAUAAGCAAAGCUAAAGGAACUCGGCAACAACGAAAACCGCCUGUUUAGCAAAAACAUGGCUCCUUGAAAUCAUAAGGGGUCGUGCCUUCCCGGUGAGUUUAAACUUAAACGGACGCGGUA